Molecule: ribosomal RNA, 1298 nt
Filed under: Limosilactobacillus fermentum
Lineage: Bacteria; Bacillati; Bacillota; Bacilli; Lactobacillales; Lactobacillaceae
Description: bacterial SSU rRNA
Rfam family: Bacterial small subunit ribosomal RNA
Source: RNAcentral
GGUGCUUGCACCUGAUUGAUUUUGGUCGCCAACGAGUGGCGGACGGGUGAGUAACACGUAGGUAACCUGCCCAGAAGCGGGGGACAACAUUUGGAAACAGAUGCUAAUACCGCAUAACAACGUUGUUCGCAUGAACAACGCUUAAAAGAUGGCUUCUCGCUAUCACUUCUGGAUGGACCUGCGGUGCAUUAGCUUGUUGGUGGGGUAACGGCCUACCAAGGCGAUGAUGCAUAGCCGAGUUGAGAGACUGAUCGGCCACAAUGGGACUGAGACACGGCCCAUACUCCUACGGGAGGCAGCAGUAGGGAAUCUUCCACAAUGGGCGCAAGCCUGAUGGAGCAACACCGCGUGAGUGAAGAAGGGUUUCGGCUCGUAAAGCUCUGUUGUUAAAGAAGAACACGUAUGAGAGUAACUGUUCAUACGUUGACGGUAUUUAACCAGAAAGUCACGGCUAACUACGUGCCAGCAGCCGCGGUAAUACGUAGGUGGCAAGCGUUAUCCGGAUUUAUUGGGCGUAAAGAGAGUGCAGGCGGUUUUCUAAGUCUGAUGUGAAAGCCUUCGGCUUAACCGGAGAAGUGCAUCGGAAACUGGAUAACUUGAGUGCAGAAGAGGGUAGUGGAACUCCAUGUGUAGCGGUGGAAUGCGUAGAUAUAUGGAAGAACACCAGUGGCGAAGGCGGCUACCUGGUCUGCAACUGACGCUGAGACUCGAAAGCAUGGGUAGCGAACAGGAUUAGAUACCCUGGUAGUCCAUGCCGUAAACGAUGAGUGCUAGGUGUUGGAGGGUUUCCGCCCUUCAGUGCCGGAGCUAACGCAUUAAGCACUCCGCCUGGGGAGUACGACCGCAAGGUUGAAACUCAAAGGAAUUGACGGGGGCCCGCACAAGCGGUGGAGCAUGUGGUUUAAUUCGAAGCUACGCGAAGAACCUUACCAGGUCUUGACAUCUUGCGCCAACCCUAGAGAUAGGGCGUUUCCUUCGGGAACGCAAUGACAGGUGGUGCAUGGUCGUCGUCAGCUCGUGUCGUGAGAUGUUGGGUUAAGUCCCGCAACGAGCGCAACCCUUGUUACUAGUUGCCAGCAUUAAGUUGGGCACUCUAGUGAGACUGCCGGUGACAAACCGGAGGAAGGUGGGGACGACGUCAGAUCAUCAUGCCCCUUAUGACCUGGGCUACACACGUGCUACAAUGGACGGUACAACGAGUCGCGAACUCGCGAGGGCAAGCAAAUCUCUUAAAACCGUUCUCAGUUCGGACUGCAGGCUGCAACUCGCCUGCACGAAGUCGGAAUCGCUAGUAAUCG